AUCAUCACACCACAGCUGCUGAGUCCACAGCACAGUACAGCACCAUUCUUCUCUUCCAUUCUACUCAACGCAAAGUCCCUCGGAUCACAUCUCACUUUGCCUUGCUGCAAGAUCCAUGGCUCCCUCACAGGAAGUCACCGCCGCCACCAAGGAGCCGUCCACCAACGGCAACGGGACCAACGGAACCAACGGCACGGCCGCCGCCGCCCCGAAGACCAAGACGCCGGCCCUCAACGAGCGGAUCCUCUCCUCCAUCACGCGCCGCUCGGUCGCCGCGCACCCGUGGCACGACCUGGAGAUCGGCCCCGACGCGCCCACCAUCUUCAACUGCGUGAUCGAGAUCCCCAAGGGGAGCAAGAUCAAGUACGAGCUGGACAAGAAGACGGGGCUCAUCAAGGUGGACCGGGUGCUCUACUCCUCCGUCGUCUACCCGCACAACUACGGCUUCAUCCCGCGCACCCUCUGCGACGACGACGACCCCAUCGACGUCCUCGUCAUCAUGCAGGAGCCCGUCGUCCCCGGGUGCUUCCUCCGGGCAAAGGCCAUCGGACUCAUGCCCAUGAUCGACCAGGGCGAGGCCGACGACAAGAUCAUCGCCGUCUGCGCCGACGACCCCGAGUACCGCCACUUCAACGACAUCAAGGAGCUGCCCCCGCACCGCCUCGCCGAGAUCAGAAGAUUCUUCGAGGACUACAAGAAGAACGAGAACAAGGAGGUGGCCGUCAACGACUUCCUGCCGUCAGAGGACGCCUACGAGGCCAUCCAGCACUCCAUGGAUCUAUAUGCUACUUACAUUGUGGAGGGCCUGAGAAGGUAGGAGGAGGAUGGUGCCUGAUGGAUGGUGAUCUGGUGCCGCCUUGCCACUUGCUGCACCAACGAUGUCGACGAGAAUAUUAUGCCUCAUAAACAUACAUACAAUACAUUCUUGUUUUGUUACAUACAUACAUCAAUGGAGCUACACCUCAUCUAAAACAGGGAUCAAGUCAGUAGUAGCCAGACAAAGAAGUCACUCCUUUUCCAUCCAGCUUAUGUAAUACGUUUUCCUGGCUGAAUAUGAGAUGCUGGCAUUACUGUAUUUUUUCCCCCAUUGCUAAUAUCUGCUGAAUCGUUUAUUUUGUCGCAUAAGCCCGGCACUAAAUACUUGGGACCAACCGAA
RNAcentral lists this ribosomal RNA (1156 nucleotides) under Triticum aestivum (bread wheat). RNAcentral describes it as "partial small subunit ribosomal RNA". Lineage: Eukaryota; Viridiplantae; Streptophyta; Magnoliopsida; Poales; Poaceae. The record is from RNAcentral.